GAUAAACGCUGGCGGCGUGCUUAACACAUGCAAGUCGAACGAAGUUUUUCCUUCGGGAGAAACUUAGUGGCGGACGGGUGAGUAACGCGUGGGUAACCUGCCCUGUACAGGGGGACAACAGCUGGAAACGGCUGCUAAUACCGCAUAAGUCCUUAGCACUGCAUGGUGCAUAGGGAAAAGGAGCAAUCCGGUACAGGAUGGACCCGCGUCUGAUUAGCCAGUUGGCAGGGUAACGGCCUACCAAAGCGACGAUCAGUAGCCGAUCUGAGAGGAUGUACGGCCACAUUGGGACUGAGACACGGCCCAGACUCCUACGGGAGGCAGCAGUGGGGAAUAUUGCACAAUGGAGGAAACUCUGAUGCAGCGACGCCGCGUGAGUGAAGAAGUAUUUCGGUAUGUAAAGCUCUAUCAGCAGGGAAGAAAAUGACGGUACCUGACUAAGAAGCACCGGCUAAAUACGUG
Molecule: ribosomal RNA, 462 nt
Filed under: uncultured bacterium
Lineage: Bacteria
Description: partial 16S ribosomal RNA
Rfam family: Bacterial small subunit ribosomal RNA
Source: RNAcentral